Molecule: long non-coding RNA, 245 nt
Filed under: Mytilus galloprovincialis (Mediterranean mussel)
Lineage: Eukaryota; Metazoa; Mollusca; Bivalvia; Mytilida; Mytilidae
Source: RNAcentral
UGGAAUGUCCUAUCAUUGUCUGAACGCAGUCGUUUAAGUUCGUAACAGAUUCCUACGGGUCGGGAAGGGUCCGAAUAGUUCGGCGAAGCACCCCGACCGUUAAGUGCGUCCCGUAACAUUCGGGGGAACUCAGCCGAUUUUGUCUAGUCGGAUUACAAUCGUGCCUAUGUCGUGACAGAUUCUGCUGUAUCGGAUCAAAAUCCUAACAAUGUUCUGUGUAUUCUGGGCGGUGUCCUAUGUAACGG